CCUACGGGAGGCAGCAGUGAGGAAUAUUGGUCAAUGGGCGUAAGCCUGAACCAGCCAAGUCGCGUGAGGGAUGAAGGUUCUAUGGAUCGUAAACCUCUUUUAUAAGGGAAUAAAGUGCGGGACGUGUCCCGUUUUGUAUGUACCUUAUGAAUAAGGAUCGGCUAACUCCGUGCCAGCAGCCGCGGUAAUACGGAGGGUCCGAGCGUUAUCCGGAUUGAUUGGGUUUAAAGGGUGCGCAGGCGGCCUUUUAAGUCAGAGGUGAAAGCCUGUGGCUCAACCAUAGAAUUGCCGUUGAAACUGGGAGGCUUGAGUAUGUUAGAGGAAGGCGGAAUGCGUGGUGUAGCGGUGAAAUGCUUAGAUAUCACGCAGAACCCCGAUUGCGAAGGCAGCCUGCCAAGCCAUGACUGACGCUGAUGCACGAAAGCGUGGGGAUCAAACAGGAUUAGAUACCCCUGUAGUC
This 460-nucleotide ribosomal RNA is filed under the name uncultured bacterium. RNAcentral describes it as "partial 16S ribosomal RNA". It matches the Rfam family "Bacterial small subunit ribosomal RNA", at positions 338 to 795 of the family's 1533-position model. The record is from RNAcentral.